CUCCAGGAUAGUUGCCCUGGAGAAAGAAGCUGAAGAAUGGACCAGACGGGCUGAAGAAGCUGUUGUCUCUAUUCAAGAUAUCACAGUGAAUUAUUUUAAUUAGACAGUAAAAGCAUUAGCAGGAAUGCAGAAAGAAAUGGAACAGGAUGUGAAGAGAUUUGGCCAGGCUGCCUGGGCCACAGCAAUUCCCAGGUUGGAAAAACUUAAGCUAAUGCUAGCUCAAGAGACUCUGCAACUCAUGAGAGCGAAAGAAUUGUAUUUAAAUCGCAAAAGAGCUGAAAUUCAGGGAAAGAAAAACAGGAUGAAGUUGUCUAUUACGAUCCAUGUGAAAGUCCAGAGGAACUUAGUCAUUGACUGUGGUGGGGCUGCAGGACGAUAAGAAUUCGGAAGUGAAAGAACUCAGAAGGCAGUGCCAGCAGCUGGAGUCUGUUAAACGGAGCAGUCUGUGUCAAAAGAGCUUCUCUCCAGAGUAGAAAGAUUUAUUUUCUUUUUGAAUAUAUUUUCUACACCAUGGUUUCUCAACCAGAGGUGAUACAGCACUGUCUCCAAAUGUGGAGCUGUUGUGUAUUGUCACGGGGAGGAGAAAUGCUACUGGCAUUUAGUGGAUGAUGGUCAAGGACACUAAGCAACCUGCAAUGUGUGGAUCAAUCUUACACAACGAAGGACUGUUCCACCCCAAAUGCCAAUGGUACCCUGUUGAGAAAGGUUAGUCUAUGUGGACAGUGAAUUAUAAACUUUUUGAAUCUGUUUUUGGGUCUUAAAAUGUCUUUAUGAUGCCCUCACAUUCACUUGCACUUUGGCUGGUUAAACAAUAUUAAAAGAAAACUUCAAAUUAAAUGGAAUUUAAUUGAGCAAGAAAAAAAAACAAUUCCCAAGUUGGGCAGCCUCCAGAACCA
RNAcentral lists this long non-coding RNA (896 nucleotides) under Homo sapiens (human). RNAcentral's name for it is "non-protein coding lnc-GOLGA8Q-4:3". Lineage: Eukaryota; Metazoa; Chordata; Mammalia; Primates; Hominidae. The record is from RNAcentral.